RNAcentral lists this ribosomal RNA (535 nucleotides) under uncultured Bacillota bacterium. Its description in RNAcentral is "bacterial SSU rRNA". It matches the Rfam family "Bacterial small subunit ribosomal RNA", at positions 168 to 707 of the family's 1533-position model. Lineage: Bacteria; Bacillati; Bacillota. The record is from RNAcentral.
ACCGGAUAGGACGAAAGUUUAAAGGUGCUUCGGCACCACUGAUGGAUGAGCCUGCGGCGCAUUAGCUAGUUGGUAGGGUAAAGGCCUACCAAGGCGACGAUGCGUAGCCGACCUGAGAGGGUGAACGGCCACACUGGGACUGAGACACGGCCCAGACUCCUACGGGAGGCAGCAGUAGGGAAUCUUCGGCAAUGGGCGAAAGCCUGACCGAGCAACGCCGCGUGAAUGAUGAAGGCCUUCGGGUUGUAAAAUUCUGUUAUAAGGGAAGAAUGGCUCUAGUAGGAAAUGGCUAGAGUGUGACGGUACCUUAUGAGGAAGCCACGGCUAACUACGUGCCAGCAGCCGCGGUAAUACGUAGGUGGCGAGCGUUAUCCGGAAUUAUUGGGCGUAAAGAGCGCGCAGGUGGUUGAUUAAGUCUGAUGUGAAAGCCCACGGCUUAACCGUGGAGGGUCAUUGGAAACUGGUCAACUUGAGUGCAGAAGAGGGAAGUGGAAUUCCAUGUGUAGCGGUGAAAUGCGUAGAGAUAUGGAGGAAC